This 301-nucleotide ribosomal RNA is filed under the name uncultured bacterium. Its description in RNAcentral is "partial 16S ribosomal RNA". It matches the Rfam family "Bacterial small subunit ribosomal RNA", at positions 509 to 807 of the family's 1533-position model. The record is from RNAcentral.
CAGUAGCCGCGGGAAUACGAAGGGGGCUAGCGUUGUUCGGAAUUACUGGGCGUAAAGCGCGCGUAGGCGGAUAUUUAAGUCAGGGGUGAAAGCCUGGGGCUCAACUCCAGAAUUGCCUUUAAGACUGCAUCGCUUGAACGUCGGAGAGGUGAGUGGAAUCCCGAGUGUAGAGGUGAAAUUCGUAGAUAUUCGGAAGAACACCAGUGGCGAAGGCGGCUUACUGGCUCAUUCUAGACGCUGAGGUGCGAAAGCGUGGGGAGCAAACAGGAUUAGAUACCCCCGUAGUCCCUGUCUCUUAUAC